AGCGUGGGGUUGCCAUGGCAACCGGCGCGGGCAGCCCUAGGGAUCCUCUGGAAUAGAAUUCCCGUGCCAGCUGCGCUCCGCCUUGGGGUGAGCCGGCAGCCAUUCCCUUCCCACACCGUGAGCCCAGGUCCCUCCUUCAGUGCCUUUAGUUAAACCAGGGGUUGUGCUCCAGUUAAACCAGGGGUCGAGCUAGCUUCGCUCCCCGUUGGCCGACGCGCCCUUGCUUCAGGGUGAGGUUGCCGUUUCCAGAUAGCGUUUAUAUAUAACUGCUGAGAGACUUUUGUGUUCCCAACACUUUCCUAUCAGGAGUGACUUAGAGGAGAGAAGCAGUGUGGUGCAGUGGUGAUCCUGAUUUAACUGGUCUCCAGUGGAGUCGUGGCUGAUCUUCAGAGGAGAGUCCAGAGUAACUGAGAGGGAUUUCCUAUUGAGGAAACAAAAAUUCUCCUGGAUAUAAUUGAAGGUUGUUUAGCUUUCAUGGGAUGAAGCAAUUUCAAAUGUGAUUCAUUUUAUCCCUGGCCUCUCUUAUGCACGGUUCAUUCUCUGGAAUAACAAGACCAAGUGGUGUUCCUGCAGGGUGAACCCAUGACAUGUUGGUAACUUCAGUGCCUCAGCCACUGAAGCAAGAUUUAAUGGAAAAUAGACACAUUUUAUGAAAAACUGUCAGAGACACACCCAGAAAUAAUGUUUCACCAGCUCUUUGGACAUCCCUUAGACCUGUCAAGUUGACACAGAAAUUAACCAGUAUAGUGCCCAACAGCCAGCAGCCCCAUUGUGAAGACACUAAAAGCAGCCCUAUGAAGGUGCCCCCAUGGCAAAAUCCCAACAGGGAACAGAAGCUUUCUGCCAAUAGUCAUGUGAAUGAGCCAUGUUGGAAGUGGACCUUCCAGCCCAACUUGACAUCCUGACUGUAACCUCAGGAGAGAUUCUGAGACACAGCCACCCAGUUGAAGAAAUCCAAUUCAGCCUUAUUUUAAAAAAAGUUGACUUACCAGCCUGUGUGACUGGAGUGAGGAGGAACUGGCAUCAGGUGCAGCUAGCUGGAAGAAGAAACAAAAUGGUCCUUCCUUCUCUUUUGAGCGCUGCUCAGCCAUCCCUUGGCUUUCUGUAUGUUGAUUGGCCUGGUUUGGUUAGUGUACAACCCUAGACCCUGGGGGGAGACAUCUAGGUCCUUGCUACUCCCAGUGUUGUCUACACCAUAGCAGCAGAGGCUUUAUCUGUGAGCUUCUUAGAAAUGCAGACUCUCCCGCCCACACCCUGCAGAGUCAGAAUCUGCAUAUUAAAAGAUCCCUAGUUGGUUGGUGUGCAUAUUAAAGUUUGACAAUGUCUCUAUCAGACCACUGCGGCUGGGAAAAGGGGUUUUUAAACUUGGCUGGGCCUGGGUCUCAUUGGCAUUAAAAGGAAUAUAGGGGUAUGAAGGGCAGCUCAGCUCUACUAGAAUCACAGGACUGGGCUGAGGGAA
Hyaena hyaena (striped hyena) is the source of this 1459-nucleotide long non-coding RNA. RefSeq lists it as uncharacterized. The record is from RefSeq and is a predicted model, not a curated record. Lineage: Eukaryota; Metazoa; Chordata; Mammalia; Carnivora; Hyaenidae. The transcript has 8 exons.